GAUGAACGCUGGCGGCGUGCUUAACACAUGCAAGUCGAACGGUGAAGCCCAGCUUGCUGGGUGUAUUAGUGGCGAACGGGUGAGUAACACGUGAGUAUCCUGCCCUUAACUCUGGGAUAAGCCUUGGAAACUGGGUCUAAUACCGGAUAUGAGCGUCCACCGCAUGGUGUGUGUUGGGAAGAUUUAUCGGUUUUGGAUGGACUCGCGGCCUAUCAGCUUGUUGGUGGGGUAAGGGCUCACCAAGGCGACGACGGGUAGCCGGCCUGAGAGGGUGACCGGCCACACUGGGACUGAGACACGGCCCAGACUCCUACGGGAGGCAGCAGUGGGGAAUAUUGCACAAUGGGCGCAAGCCUGAUGCAGCGACGCCGCGUGAGGGAUGACGGCCUUCGGGUUGUAAACCUCUUUCAGUAGGGAAGAAGCGAAAGUGACGGUACCUGCAGAAGAAGCACCGGCUAACUACGUG
This 466-nucleotide ribosomal RNA is filed under the name uncultured bacterium. Its description in RNAcentral is "partial 16S ribosomal RNA". It matches the Rfam family "Bacterial small subunit ribosomal RNA", at positions 28 to 507 of the family's 1533-position model. The record is from RNAcentral.